RNAcentral lists this ribosomal RNA (234 nucleotides) under Mycobacterium tuberculosis. RNAcentral describes it as "partial 16S ribosomal RNA". It matches the Rfam family "Bacterial small subunit ribosomal RNA", at positions 1279 to 1511 of the family's 1533-position model. The record is from RNAcentral. Lineage: Bacteria; Bacillati; Actinomycetota; Actinomycetes; Mycobacteriales; Mycobacteriaceae.
AAGCCGGUCUCAGUUCGGAUCGGGGUCUGCAACUCGACCCCGUGAAGUCGGAGUCGCUAGUAAUCGCAGAUCAGCAACGCUGCGGUGAAUACGUUCCCGGGCCUUGUACACACCGCCCGUCGCGUCAUGAAAGUCGGUAACACCCGAAGCCAGUGGCCUAACCCUCGGGAGGGAGCUGUCGAAGGUGGGAUCGGCGAUUGGGACGAAGUCGUAACAAGGUAGCCGUACCGGAAG